UAGUUCAGUUGGUUAGAAUACCUGCCUGUCACGCAGGGGGUCGCGGGUUCGAGUCU
Molecule: transfer RNA, 56 nt
Filed under: Salmonella enterica subsp. enterica serovar Newport
Lineage: Bacteria; Pseudomonadati; Pseudomonadota; Gammaproteobacteria; Enterobacterales; Enterobacteriaceae
Description: tRNA-Asp
Rfam family: tRNA
About the family: Transfer RNA (tRNA) molecules are approximately 80 nucleotides in length. Their secondary structure includes four short double-helical elements and three loops (D, anti-codon, and T loops).
Source: RNAcentral